AUUGAACGCUGGCGGCAUGCUUUACACAUGCAAGUCGAACGGUAACAGGCCGCAAGGUGCUGACGAGUGGCGGACGGGUGAGUAAUGCAUCGGAACGUGCCCAGUCGUUGGGGAUAACUACUCGAAAGAGUAGCUAAUACCGCAUACGAUCUAUGGAUGAAAGCGGGGGACCGUAAGGCCUCGCGCGAUUGGAGCGGCCGAUGUCAGAUUAGUUAGUUGGUGGGGUAAAGGCUCACCAAGCCAACGAUCUGUAGCUGGUCUGAGAGGACAACCAGCCACACUGGGACUGAGACACGGCCCAGACUCCUACGGGAGGCAGCAGUGGGGAAUUUUGGACAAUGGGCGCAAGCCUGAUCCAGCAAUGCCGCGUGCAGGAAGAAGGCCUUCGGGUUGUAAACUGCUUUUGUACGGAACGAAACGGCUCUGGUUAAUACCCGGGGCUAAUGACGGUACCGGAAGAAUAAGCACCGGCUAACUACGUG
Molecule: ribosomal RNA, 482 nt
Filed under: uncultured bacterium
Lineage: Bacteria
Description: partial 16S ribosomal RNA
Rfam family: Bacterial small subunit ribosomal RNA
Source: RNAcentral